RNAcentral lists this unclassified non-coding RNA (218 nucleotides) under fungal sp. RNAcentral's name for it is "partial internal transcribed spacer region". The stretch from base 1 to 46 matches the Rfam family "Eukaryotic small subunit ribosomal RNA", at positions 1786 to 1831 of the family's 1831-position model. The record is from RNAcentral. Lineage: Eukaryota; Fungi.
AAGUCGUAACAAGGUAACCGUAGGUGAACCUGCGGUUGGAUCAUUAACAAAGAUCUACUACGAGUAGUUUCCAUUCGGAAGCUGCUCAUCACCUCUGUGAACACUAAUGUUUGGGUCUCUAGUAUUUACUUACUGAGACUUUAUAAACCUAUUAAACCUACUAAUUUAAAAAGACCAAAAUCCAUAAACAACUUUUGACAAUGGAUCUCUUGGCUCUC